GUUCAACCUUGUGUUAACCCUUUUCUACCAGCACAAAAAUAGCUGGUAGAAAAAUCCUCCAAGACCUGCCCCCUGGAAAAGCCCCGCCCCGGUAGGAAAGAGGUCCAAGCCCCCCCAGACACCCAGCACUUGCUGACAACAAGUGCUUCAAAAACAGCACUUAGUUCUCCUGCAAACUGAAUGUAAAUUGAUGAUUUUGAAGUGUGAGUGCAUGGAAGGAUCUCACAGAUCAACAUGUGGUCCAGCCACCUCUGCUGCCCCAGCCUCACCUCCAGCUGAGACUCAGAAGAACAAAACAAAGAACGCUUCGUGGUGGCGCAUGAAGUCUGAGGAUGUUCUGGAGAAGGACUCAGCAGGUCCGAAGCCUCCAGUCUCAGCUGUACCUGAUAAAGAAGCCGUGGCAAGGUCAAAAUGCAGACAGCUACACUGACCUGGUCCUUUCUUCCCUGAACACCCGCGUUCAUCUGCUUAAAUAGUCAAUUCACCCUGGACUAUUCCAUUUGGUUAACCAGGAAGUUAUAAAUACAGGAAGUAAAACUACAUUUCCUCUCUUUGUUCCUAGAACACAGUGCAAAACAUAAACAAACCUGGGAUAGUAGAUGUUUGCCUGGUGCAGACUACAUAUGAGAUGGGGCUAAAUCAAAACAAGAAUGUUAACUAAGGAUAUGGACAAGUGGUAUUCUCACCCACUUUGUCACACUCUCCUCACACUGAGAGUCAUUACUGAGGAGCUCUGCAGCCAGCUGCAGCUGUGGAGGUUUCACCCAGAGUGCCAGCUCAUCAGUCAGUUUGUGGACAUCAAAUUGAGCCGCUUCAACAACGACAGCUGGAACAAAAGCUCUGUCCUGACUGCUUUUAAAGACACGGUCGCUGUGUCUCAUCCAGAGUUUGACGACGACGAUCAGAAAGAUGCCCACGAGUUCCUCGUCUGUGCUCUGGACGUGCUCCAGUGUGAGUUCUCUAAGCUGCAGGCAGAAGCAGCUGCCUUGGACAAACCUUCCAUCUGUCCAGUUAGAGCUCACAUUGGCUUCACGAUGUUGAGAAUACAGUUGUCUGUAAUCCUGGAGUGGUGAGCUCGGACACUAUGCUUGACAUUUGCUCAGAGAGGACAAAACAACAAUAAAGCACACCAGUCUGUGGUUGUGAAUGCUUGCAAUUAAUUGUUAGGAGAUGGACUAAGCCCAGAUCAAGUAUCAUGUUUCACAUACUUUAUACUGUCACAAGGUUGUACAAACCUUUUUGCCAAGAUUUAAAACAAAUGUUAUUAUUUAUGCAUCUACAAUGUGCAUCUGACUGAUGAGUGACGAAACGUUUCUCCCACUGAAAACGCAACGUCCAGAUGAACAGAAUCAACCUUUUGGGAUUUACUAUCCUGGAUAACUGAGCAUGCAUCAAGACAUAUAAUGUGCUUAAAUUUUUGGAUGUGGAAAUUAUAUAGUGUAUUUAUUUUCAUAAUCACAAUGAUACUGACUGAAAUACUGACCAGUAUUCAGGUUUUUUAAUUGUUGUUGUGUCCACACACUUCAGGAGCUGCCACUGGUGUCAUUUUACUUGGGCCAGCACAGCUCAGUGUCCCUGACGUUCUGACCAAGAAGCCCUAAUGUAGCUACACACACACAAAAACCAAACAACAACAAAAAACCUUAUUGCUGAUUUAGGUGAUUAUUUCUUGCACAUAAACUUUCUCCACAGCGCUCCAUUAAGUGUUAAAUAAGUAUCCGGAUCAUGCAUCUUUCAUGUAUGGAUAUGUGCUGGUUUUCUUCAAGACUGGUAACCAAAGAUAUCCCGCUCAGGUGCACCUUAUGGAUGUGUAACAUGGUAGACUAAUGUGCCUGUGUUAAUUCAGGUCAUAUUAUUGUGUGAAGUUGCACUGGGUUGGGAGUGUGUGUGUGUGUGUGUGUGUGUGUGUGUGUGUGUGUGUGUGUGUGUGUGUGUGUGUGUGUGUGUGUGUGUGUGUGUGUGUGUGUGUGUGUGUGUGUGUGUGUGUGUGUGUGUGUCACAUUUUUGCUGAGCCAAUGGCUGGAAUGGGGUUGGACUAAUUAGAGGCAGGUGUACUUGAUUGCACUGAUACACUGGUCUACUUAUAGCCCACACUACAAACACUGCUGUGUCAUUUUGUCUCUCUGUGCAGGCCAGGGCCUAUUAUAUGCCACAGCCUAAAGGCAGCAGAGUUGCAGAGGCUGGAGUGACCACUGGCUAUAUGCUUGCAGGGUGGUGGGUCUCAGAGGACAACUUCUAACCCCGUUGAAGGCAACAUGUGGAGUGCAACUGACAGUGUGGCAUAGCUGGCUCUGGCCUUGGGACUGUGUGUUUUAUUUGAUUCAUAAAGG
Oreochromis aureus is the source of this 2330-nucleotide long non-coding RNA. The record is from Ensembl. Lineage: Eukaryota; Metazoa; Chordata; Actinopteri; Cichliformes; Cichlidae.